CCUACGGGAGGCAGCAGUGGGGGAUAUUGCACAAUGGGGGGAACCCUGAUGCAGCGACGCCGCGUGAGUGAAGAAGUAAUUCGUUAUGUAAAGCUCUAUCAGCAGGGAAGAAAAUGACGGUACCUGAGUAAGAAUCCCCGGCUAACUACGUUCCAGCAGCCGCGGUAAUACGUAGGGGGCAAGCGUUAUCCGGAUUUACUGGGGGUAAAGGGAGCGUAGACGGGAGUGCAAGUCUGGAGUGAAAGGCGGGGGCUCAACCCCCGGACUGCUCUGGAAACUGUACGGCUGGAGUGCAGGAGAGGUAAGUGGAAAUCCUAGUGUAGCGGUGAAAUGCGUAGAUAUUAGGAGGAACACCAGUGGCGAAGG
Molecule: ribosomal RNA, 366 nt
Filed under: uncultured bacterium
Lineage: Bacteria
Description: partial 16S ribosomal RNA
Rfam family: Bacterial small subunit ribosomal RNA
Source: RNAcentral